GUCCACGCCGUAACGAUGAGUACUAGGUGUAGGAGGUCGAUCCCUCCUGUGCCGUAGCUAACGCGUUAAGUACUCCGCCUGAGGACUACGGUCGCAAGACUAAACUCAAAGGAAUAGACGGGACCCACACAAGCGGUGGAGCAUGUUGUUUAAUUCGACAUUAAACGAGAACCUUACCCAGGUUUGACAUCCCGAGAACCCUGCAGAGAUGCGGGGUGCCGCAAGGAACUCGGUGACAGGUGCUGCAUGGUUGUCGU
RNAcentral lists this ribosomal RNA (257 nucleotides) under uncultured bacterium. Its description in RNAcentral is "partial 16S ribosomal RNA". It matches the Rfam family "Bacterial small subunit ribosomal RNA", at positions 793 to 1055 of the family's 1533-position model. The record is from RNAcentral.